This 1353-nucleotide ribosomal RNA is filed under the name uncultured bacterium. Its description in RNAcentral is "bacterial SSU rRNA". It matches the Rfam family "Bacterial small subunit ribosomal RNA", at positions 37 to 1398 of the family's 1533-position model. The record is from RNAcentral.
UGGCGGCGCACAUAAGACAUGCAAGUCGAACGAACUUAACUCAUUCUUUACGAUUGAGAGCGGUUAGUGGCGGACUGGUGAGUAACACGUAAGCAACCUGCCUAUUAGAGGGGAAUAACAGUGAGAAAUCAUUGCUAAUACCGCAUAUGCUCACAGUACCACAUGGUACAGUGAGGAAAGGAGCAAUCCGCUAAUAGAUGGGCUUGCGUCUGAUUAGCUAGUUGGUGGGGUAAUGGCCUACCAAGGCGACGAUCAGUAGCCGGACUGAGAGGUUGAACGGCCACAUUGGGACUGAGAUACGGCCCAGACUCCUACGGGAGGCAGCAGUCGGGAAUAUUGCGCAAUGGAGGAAACUCUGACGCAGUGACGCCGCGUAUAGGAAGAAGGUUUUCGGAUUGUAAACUAUUGUCGUUAGGGAAGAUACAAGACAGUACCUAAGGAGGAAGCCCCGGCUAACUAUGUGCCAGCAGCCGCGGUAAUACAUAGGGGGCAAGCGUUAUCCGGAAUUAUUGGGUGUAAAGGGUGCGUAGACGGAGAUGCAAGUUGGUUGUGAAAUCCCUCGGCUCAACUGAGGAACUGCAACCAAAACUACAUCCCUUGAGUGUCGGAGGGGAAAGUGGAAUUCCUAGUGUAGCGGUGAAAUGCGUAGAUAUUAGGAGGAACACCGGUGGCGAAGGCGACUUUCUGGACGAUAACUGACGUUGAGGCACGAAAGUGUGGGGAGCAAACAGGAUUAGAUACCGUGGUAGUCCACACUGUAAACGAUGGAUACUAGCUGUAGGGUGUAUUAAGCACUCUGUGCCGCCGCAAACGCAUUAAGUAUCCCACCUGGGGAGUACGACCGCAAGGUUGAAACUCAAAGGAAUUGACGGGGGCCCGCACAAGCAGUGGAGUAUGUGGUUUAAUUCGAAGCAACGCGAAGAACCUUACCAGGGCUUGACAUAUACAGGAAUAACUUAGAGACAGGUUAGCUCUUCGGAGCCUGUAUACAGGUGGUGCAUGGUUGUCGUCAGCUCGUGUCGUGAGAUGUUGGGUUAAGUCCCGCAACGAGCGCAACCCCUAUCGUUAGUUGCUAGCAGGUAAUGCUGAGAACUCUAGCGAGACUGCCGGUGAUAAAUCGGAGGAAGGUGGGGAUGACGUCAAAUCAUCAUGCCCUUUAUGUCCUGGGCUACACACGUACUACAAUGGCCGUAACAGAGGGAAGCAAUAUAGUGAUAUGGAGCAAAACCCUAAAAGCGGUCUCAGUUCGGAUUGAAGGCUGAAAUUCGCCUUCAUGAAGCAGGAAUUGCUAGUAAUGGCAGGUCAGCAUACUGCCGUGAAUACGUUCGCCGGGCCUUGUACACACCGCCCGUC